GUGCUCGCUUUGGCAGCACAUAUACUAAAAUUGGAACGAUACAGAGAAGAUAAGCGUGGCCCCUGCACAAGGAGGCCAUGCAGAUUGUGAAGCGUUCCAUAUUUUU
Small nuclear RNA from Balaenoptera musculus (blue whale), 106 nucleotides. The record is from RefSeq and is a predicted model, not a curated record. NCBI's taxonomy places the organism in Eukaryota, Metazoa, Chordata, Mammalia, Artiodactyla, Balaenopteridae.